AUGUUAGACAACCUCAAAGUUAUAUUCCGGAAUGUGCGCGGUCUUAACAGCCGGGCUAAGCGCACCGCUGUCCGCACGGUGAUCCACUCCGCCUCACCUUGUAUUGUUUGCAUUCAAGAAACUAAACUUUCCAUGGUCUCGCCGGCGCUUGUUUUUUAGACUCUUGGCGCUCUUUUUGAUGGUUUCUAUUGGUUACCUGCGGACGGCACCCAUGGUGGGAUCAUCCUCGCAUGGCAAUCUAGCAUCGUCUCUCUAUCCAACCCGACCGUUGGCAAUCACCACGUCUUGGUGGUUGUGAACCCCCCUCAGUGGCUCCCAUUGGUGGAUCAUGGGCGUCCACAGACCUCAAGGAGACGAUGCAAAAAUUGA
Molecule: ribosomal RNA, 369 nt
Filed under: Triticum aestivum (bread wheat)
Lineage: Eukaryota; Viridiplantae; Streptophyta; Magnoliopsida; Poales; Poaceae
Description: partial small subunit ribosomal RNA
Source: RNAcentral